AAGGCCACACUCCUAAUAGUGCCACUUCCUAUGGGCCAAGCAUAUUCAAACCACCACACUCUACAUAGAGCUCUUACCUGAAAGGGAUUCAAAGUAAGAGUGACUCAAGUCACAUAGACAUUUAGUCUCACUUGUGUAACUGCCAGGAGGGAUGUGACCCAAGACUGUGGGUGUCUCUGAACCACUGUGAGUCACCAGUCUCCUCUCAGAUCAUUCAGUCUACAUCCAGGAUGCCACAGGAGGGGCAGGAAGUAGGAAGAAGAACCUGAUCCUCUUCCCUUUGGUGAGUAUAUCCAGAACUUGUAUUCAGGAUUCCAGACACAUCAAUUUGCCUAACUCAGUUUCAAUGGUCACACUACUAGGGUGUAAUGGGAUCAGCUCUCAAGCCAUAGACACAUUACUGAGGGAAGUAAGGGGAGAACACAGUUCACAUACCCAUACCCAGCUGCUUUCAGGUGGAGAAUAUGUAUAACCAUGGCCAUGGCAGAAGACCUGAGUUCAGUUCCCAGCACCCAUGUUGGGAAGCUCAAAUUGUCUAUAACUCCAACUCUAUAGGAUCUGAUGAUCUCUAUAAGCUCUCUCUCUUUCUCUCUCUCUCUCUCUCUCUCUCUCUCUCUCUAUAUAUAUAUAUAUAUAUAUAUAUAUAUAUAUAUGUGUGUGUGUGUGUGUGUGUGUGUGUGUAUAAAAAAUAAAAAUAAAUCUAAAACAAACACAAAAAUAAGCUCAGUAAAUUCUCUGGAACAAGGACAACCUGAUUUACAGAAUUUUUAGAUUCAACUCUCCAGUUUUGACUACAACAGUAAAAAUCAUGAUAUACAAAGAAACAGGAAAGUAUGAUCCACUUAAGGGAAAAAUAAUAACAAUAUUGUAACACAUUAUAAUACAAUAUAUUUGGGUUACUCAUCUAGCAAAAGUAGCAAAAUUACAUAAUCUUCAGGAAAAUGGAUGGAACUGGAACACAAUGAGUUAGUGAGAUAAGCCAGGCUCUGGAAGACAGAUAUCGCAUACUUUGUCUCAGCUGUAGUGUCUAGACUUUAAAAUCAGAGAAAUCCUUGAAUACGGAAUAGGGAACCAAUAAGGGAAGGAAAGAAUAAAGGGGGGUAAAUAAGAUCAAAGUAAAUGACACACACAUGUGUGAGCAUGUGGCAAGGAAGCCAUUAUUCUGUACAGUGAAUUCACAUCAAUCAAAUAAUAGCAAUUGGGGGCUGGAGAGAUGGCUCAGAGGUUAAGAUCACUAACUGCUCUUCCAGAGGUCCUGAGUUCAAUUCUCAGCAAACACAUGGUGGUUCACAACCAUCUGUAAUGGAAUCUGAUCCCCCCUUCUGUGCGUCUGAAGAUACUGACAGUUUACUCAUAGGCAUAAAAUAAACAAAUAAAUAAAUCUUUUUAAAAAUAAUAGCAACUGACUUGAAACCAUUCUAAGAAUGCGAGGAAGACACAAUAUGGAAAAGAAUAUUUUAAAAAAAUGAUUUGAGGACAAAAUGAAAAUGUAGAGAAAGAGGGAGCUUAAGGGGGGGAAACAAAUUCUAGUUAUUGUGAAAGGCAUAGUAACAGAAAAAGGAAACUCAGCUGCAGGAAUUCAGAAGCAGAAGAAAACAAACAUGGAGUUUAAAGAUGGGGCAAUUAACGAUGCAGUCUGAGGAAUACAAGAGGGGAACAGACUAAAGGCGGAUGACCAAAGAAUGGGAACCGGUUCUGAAUGAAACCUGGUCUGGGAAGAUGAGUCAGCUGACUCGUGUUAACCCUUGAACACAACAGAGGGAGAUGGAGAAGCCAGUGUACCAAGCCACGCCCUCCCAGAAAGAUGCGGAACUGUGGCGACCAAUGAGCCUCAUGCAACCCCUGGGGAGGCGCAGGACAGAAAUCAAAUGUUCCAAAAAAAACAAAGGAAAGUGAACUGAUUAGUAAUAAUUUAACAGAGAAACUGGGACAAGGAGGAAAGACUCUCAAUUUCUCUUCACAAUUGUAUAAGAGAACCCAUCCCUGAAUCAGUUUGAACCUCGCGCUGAAAAACCCGGAAGAAUAAAGGGAUCAGACUCCAAGAAUUUCCUGAUAUGCGUUGGUUUAAAAUAAUGUUUUGUCCAGAGUUUUAGUCCGUUUAGGUGGUUGUGACAAAAUGUUGCAGAUCGGGCGGCCUGAACAAUAUUCAUCAUUCACAGCUGAGGAGGGACAGUGAAAGACCAAGAUGGAGGAACCAGCCAACCUAGCGUCCUGUGAGGAGCCUUUCUGCCACAUGGAUGGUACCGAGAAGGAAAAGGAGGCUCUGCAUGGCCUCUAAAUACAGAUACGAAUCCUAUUCUCGAGGUUGUACCCUCAUGGCCUAACUACCUCCCCAAACUGUACCUCUUAAUACUAUAUCACCUUAGGGUUAGGUUUCGUCGUGUGAACAAAUGCUUAGUCUUCAAGAGCUAAAUAGGCUUCCUACGGUCACUAACAUGAAGAUGAGACAGAGAAGAGAAGAGAUAAGAAAAACAAACAAAAACAAACAGGGAUUUAACUCUCUACCAAAUAUCAGCACUUUUCUUUUGUUUUUGACAGGUCUCUCUGUGUAGACCCAGUUUUCCUAGAACUCACUAUGUAGACCAGGCUGGUCUAGAACUCAGAGUUCUCCCUGCCACUCUGCCUCUCAAAUGCUAGGAUUAAAGACUAGCCACACUACAUCCAGGAGUGUUUUUCUUUUUAAUUGAUAAGACUUUUUAAAAAUUGAAAAUAGUUUCCUUUUCCACGCAAUAUAUUCUGAUCACGGUUCCCCUCCCCCAGCUUUCUCCAGCUUCUCCCUACCUGCCCACAGUUCAGAGAUCACUAGCAUCCAGAUCUGUGCCCAGCACCAGUUGUCACUGAGCCUAGAUCUCUACACCAGAGUCUCUUCUUUAGGGAGCUCUGUGUUCAGAGCUGGCGUGCGACCCAGGGCCACUUCCAUAGCCACUGUAAUGCUCAUGACUUUCUUUGGUGGAGUCAUUCAUUUCCCCCUCUUCAUCUCCUGAGCUUAGCGAUCUUCCGAGUCACUUAGAGAGUUCAUUCCUGUUAAUGCCUGGUAUUGUAGUGGUGCAUAGCAAGAGUUCAAAUGUUACAGGAAGACACAAAGGUAAACUUUACCUUCUUUCUUCUAACAUGCUCUUUUCCACAGACCGAAAAAAUAGAAAUAAAUAAUAAAUAAUUAAAAGCUCUGCAUCUUUGCCUAUGUACCUGUAGAAGAGACUGCCCUGUGCAGGUUAGACUUAGUUGGACCUUCUAUCCUAAUGUCUCAGUCUAAAGAGGUUAUUGGUAAAAAGCAAGUAUUUGAGACUCAAUAUCAUGAUGAAAAACAAUGUUUUUAUUACUUAAAACUUCAAUUGAUAGCAAUGUUGAAGGCUCAUGACCAAUCACUUUGCAUUGGCGUUGUAAAGUUUUCUUUUUUAAAAUAUUUUUUUUACAUUAAUUUGUUUUUGUGUGUGGGUGUGUAUGCGCGUGUGCACAUGCAUGUAUGUUUGAGCAUGUGCAUGCUAUUGCAUAUGUGUGGACGACGAAGACACUUUGCAAAACUCACUUCUCUGCGUGCAUUGUGUAUGUUCUGGAAAUUGAGCUCAGGCUGUGAGGGUUAGCGGCAAGUACCUUCAUCAGAGCCAUCUCACUGACUCUAAAAUAUCUUUACCCAAGAUAUUUUAACCCCUGGGCCAUCUCUCCAAGUAACACCCAUGUUACCUUAACCACCACAAUUGCCUUGGUGUAGAUUUAGAGAUAGGACUCAGAGGUAGCUAAAUCUCUAAACAUUCUAGUCAUCAGAAUAAAGUCAGAAACAGAGGCUGGGCCUGUAACUUCUUGUCGUGCACUGUUAGUCACAAUAACAGACAGCCAUCACUGCAGGGGUGCAACAGAGAGAGAGAGAGAGAGAGAGAGAGAGAGAGAGAGAGAGAGAGAGAGAGAGAGGAGAGAGCAAGAGAGCUCCAAACUUCACAUUCACAUUUAUUCUGCUUUGUUUUCCAGUAGCUUACUCUCCUAGUCUUCCCCAUCCCCACAUGACCACCACAGCUGCUUCAGUUGCCCAACACCACCAGUCCUCAGAACACUGAAAGAGGAAGAGCCGCACCCUUGAUAUUGGGGAGGACAGCUGGAUGGGAUAACUACUCUCUGACAGCUGACUGUGGCUCACUUCCAGAAGGAAUAGCAUUUGUUGAUACAAAAAAACAGCCACCAGCCACCGUAACUGUAACUGCCUCUUUUAGGUGUUUUGAGCUCACAGGACUGAGGGAGGGAAAGUAAGCUCUGCAAAGGAGUAUUUGGCUAGCCAGGCUCACAGAACAUCUUGCAAGUUUGAAAGCGUUCUAAGGCUGCUUCACACCCCGGCCCACACACCCAGCUGCACUCAAAGAGCUCUUCCUCCCCGCCCCCACCCCCACCUCCA
This is a long non-coding RNA of Mus musculus (house mouse), 4381 nucleotides long. RefSeq annotates it as predicted gene, 53552. The transcript has 3 exons. Lineage: Eukaryota; Metazoa; Chordata; Mammalia; Rodentia; Muridae. The record is from RefSeq and is a predicted model, not a curated record.